GACGAACGCUGGCGGCGUGCUUAACACAUGCAAGGCGAACGGAAAGGCCCUGUGUUGGUGGGGUGCUCGAGUGGCGAACGGGUGAGUAACACGUGAGUAACCUGCCCUUGACUUUGGGAUAACUUCAGGAAACUGGGGCUAAUACCGGAUAGGAGCUCCUGCUGCAUGGUGGGGGUUGGAAAGUUUCGGCGGUUGGGGCUGGACUCGCGGCUUAUCAGCGUGUCGGUGGGGUAGUGGCUUACCAAGGCUUUGACGGGUAGCCGGCCUGAGAGGGUGACCGGCCACAUUGGGACUGAGCUACGGCCCCGACUCCUACCCGCGGCAGCAGUGGGGAAUAUUCCACAAUGGGCGGAAGCCUGAUGCAGCACCGCCGCGUCCGGGAGCACGGCCUUACGGUUGUAGCCCGAUUUCGCCUGUCACGAAGCGUGAGUGACGGUAAUGGCUCCACAAGCACCGGCUCACCACGUG
Molecule: ribosomal RNA, 468 nt
Filed under: uncultured bacterium
Lineage: Bacteria
Description: partial 16S ribosomal RNA
Rfam family: Bacterial small subunit ribosomal RNA
Source: RNAcentral